Molecule: ribosomal RNA, 301 nt
Filed under: uncultured bacterium
Lineage: Bacteria
Description: partial 16S ribosomal RNA
Rfam family: Bacterial small subunit ribosomal RNA
Source: RNAcentral
CAGUCGCCGCGGUAAUACGUAGGUGGCAAGCGUUGUCCGGAAUUAUUGGGCGUAAAGGGCUCGCAGGCGGUUUCUUAAGUCUGAUGUGAAAGCCCCCGGCUCAACCGGGGAGGGUCAUUGGAAACUGGGAAACUUGAGUGCAGAAGAGGAGAGUGGAAUUCCACGUGUAGCGGUGAAAUGCGUAGAGAUGUGGAGGAACACCAGUGGCGAAGGCGACUCUCUGGUCUGUAACUGACGCUGAGAGACGAAAGCUAGGGGAGCAAAUGGGAUUAGAUACCCGCGUAGUCCCUGUCUCUUAUAC